CCUACGGGAGGCUGCAGUGGGGAAUAUUGCGCAAUGGGCGAAAGCCUGACGCAGCGACGCCGCGUGAGGGAUGAAGGUCUUCGGAUCGUAAACCUCUGUCAGCAGGGAAGAACGGUCACUGUGCUAAUCAGCAGUGAAUUGACGGUACCUGCAAAGGAAGCACCGGCUAACUCCGUGCCAGCAGCCGCGGUAAUACGGAGGGUGCGAGCGUUAAUCGGAAUUACUGGGCGUAAAGCGCUCGUAGGCGGUAUGUCAAGUCAAGGGUGAAAUCCCCGCGCUCAACGUGGGAACUGCCGUUGAAACUGGCAAACUGGAGUGUGUGAGAGGAUCGUGGAAUUCGAGGUGUAGGAGUGAAAUGCGUAGAUAUCUGGAGGAACAUCAGUGGCGAAGGCGACGAUCUGGCACAUAACUGACGCUGAGGAGCGAAAGCGUGGGUAGCAAACAGGAUUAGAUACCCCAGUAGUC
RNAcentral lists this ribosomal RNA (465 nucleotides) under uncultured bacterium. RNAcentral's name for it is "partial 16S ribosomal RNA". It matches the Rfam family "Bacterial small subunit ribosomal RNA", at positions 338 to 795 of the family's 1533-position model. The record is from RNAcentral.